GCUUGAAACGUCACCAAACGGCCCCGUAACGUUGGGUUUCAUCAGCAUACAGUACAUCCUCCCAAUCCACCUAGCUCGCGGCAUUUGCAGCAGCGACGGCGACGGCGGCGGCGCCACCAUGAACGCGCUGAUUCGGAGGUCCUCCGCUAUUGUUGGCUGCAGAUUCCACUUCUUCCACACAGCAACGUCCACAGCACCACUCAUCAACGACACUGGCCUCUACGGAUACCAUCACCUGAAAACUGCCAAAGGCUUUCAACGAUUCGCCGACGAUGCUAUCGAGAGGUCUAAAGAGCUGCUGAAUCACAUCUCUUCAAUGCCGGCGGCUUCGGAAAUCAUUCGAACAUUGGAUGAAAUAUCUGAUACUGUAUGUUCAGUGAUUGAUGCUGCAGAAUUAUGUAGACAUACACAUCCAGACAGGGAAUUUGUUGAGGAGGCAAGCCAGGCAUCUUCCAGAGUUAACGACUUUUUACAUUACCUUAAUUCAAAUCAUAGUAUAUAUAAGGCAGUUUUAAAAGCAGAACAAGAAGGCAAUUCACUUACCGAUGAAGGUAAAAGGGCAGCUCGUUUUCUACGCAUGGAUUUGGAGAAUGGUGGAAUUCAUCUUUCCCCUGAAAGACUGGAUCGAGUGAAUCAGCUCAAUAUGGAGAUUGUUCAGUUGUGUAGACAGUUUAGUACAAAUGUUGUCACUGACCCAGGUCAAGUGGAUAUAUUUCCAGCUUCAAGAGUUUCUAAAACUUGGCGCCACCUUGUCAAGCCUAUCUAUCGUUUUCCACGGGGUACCUCCAAGGGAUCCAUAUUGUCUAGAGACAGCGUGAAGGAGAAGGGCUUUAGAUUGAUAACCUCCCCAAACAGUUUGCAGCAUGUCCUUCAAUGUGUAUCAGAUGCCGAGGUUAGGAAGAUGGCAUAUAUCCAGGGAAAUUCUGCCCCACGCGCUAAUCUUGAGGUUCUUGAUAAGCUUAUUUCUGCUCGCCACGAAGUUGCUCAGAUUCUGGGGUAUAAAUCUUAUUCUGCAUUUUCUCUACAUUCAACUAUGGCUGCAUCACCGGAAGUAGUCUUUUCGUUUUUGCAUGAGAUGAGCAAAUUAGUUAGAGCCAAGGCUGACAAGGAAUUUAAGGCAAUUGAGGAGUUUAAGAGAGUGAAAAGUUGUGACCAGGGUGGAGGCUUAGAGCCAUGGGAUGAGGGAUACUUCACGUGGUUGAUGAAGUCUUCAGCAUACAACUUGAAUUCCUUGGCAGUGGCAUCAUAUUUUCCUUUAGCACGAUGUAUAGAGGGCUUAAAGAUUUUGGUUGAGUCACUAUUUGGUGUGACAUUUAGACAGAUACCCCUGGCCCCUGGUGAAUCAUGGCAUCCAGAUGUGAUAAAAAUAUUACUACAUCAUCCUAAUGAGGGUGAAUUGGGUUACUUAUACCUUGAUUUGAAAUCAAGAAAAGGUAAACAUCCCAUUUGUGCACAUUUUGCUAUCAGAGGAGGACGUCGCAUUUCUGAGACAGAGUACCAACUUCCUAUUGUUGCUCUCAUUUGUGAUUUCUCUGGUCCAAGUUCAACAUCAGUUAUGCUUAACCAACUUGAAGUAGAAACACUUUUUCAUGAAUUCGGGCAUGCUCUUCAUUCAUUGCUCUCAAGAACGGAAUAUCAACAUUUUUCAGGGACUAGAGCUGUUCUUGAUUUUGCUGAAACACCUUCAACACUCUUUGAGCACUUUGCAUUGGAUUAUCGGGUUUUAAGGAGAUUUGCUAAGCACUACUCAACUGGUGAUGUCAUACCAAAAGAAUUGGUAGAAUCAAUGCUUGGAGCGAAAAAUAUGUUUGCUGCAACAGAAUUACAACGACAGAUUUUCUACGCGUUAGUUGAUCAAACACUUUUUGGAGAGCAGCCGUCCUCAGUCAGAGAUUCAUUAUCAAUUGUUGCUGAUCUCAAAAGACAACAUACAAGUUGGAAACAUGUGGAAGGGACACAUUGGCACACCCGAUUUAAUCAUCUUACAAACUAUGGUGCAGGCUACUAUAGCUACUUGUAUGCAAAAUGCUUUUCAGCAACCAUUUGGGAAAAGAUAUGCCAAGAGGAUCCACUAUCACCGGCAACAGGUUCAGCUCUAAGGAUGAAGUUCCUGCAGCAUGGAGGAGCCAAAGACGCUACUAAUAUAUUGAAUGACCUUGUAGGAAACGGUAUUACAAGGCCUGCUGGUGAAGGCGUAAUACCUGAUGUCACAAGCCUCUGCAAUAUGUUGGAGCUAACCAAAUGCUAGUACGAAGAGAUCCCCCACUUGAUCUGCCAAGAGGGGUGGAGAAACCAUCAAUAUGUUGUCACAUAGAGGAAUCCUCUGGUUUUGAUAGUAACUUUACAUGAAGGGAAUUGAUACUCGUAUACACCCCCAUGGAUUCACAUAAAGUUAAAAGCAGAAAAAGAAAAAAAAAUGGAGAUGAAAGCAACAGUUUGGGGUUGAUUCCUGUUUGGUUGGCAGCAUAAACGUUGUGAUUUGGCCCUUUCAGGAGAGCCCUUUUCCCAGUAAGCUGUCUUUGAUGUCUCUUACUGGCGCAAAGGUGUGGUAAAUUGACACUAUUGAGCUAUAUCCUCAGACUACUUAACUCCUUUUGUCAUUCUCGGCCUCCCAUUCCCCCUUAUAGUGCCCAUCAAUCCCCGUCAAUUCCAGAAUAAUAUGCCUCCCCUCUCCCUCUAUUGGAUGAUCAUGAUCCAGGUCAAAUUUAGCUAAAAUUUCUAAUCCUGUCUCUGUCAUCCGAACCGAAUCUGAUCUGGCUUUAGAAUGGGGGGAGCGUGGCCGAUCAAGAUUGGUGGCACUAACCCAUCACCAAUUAAAGCUGUUAAGUGCAUCAUUAUAUCGGUUUUAUUGGCAACGCAAUCAUUUUUGUCUCUUUAUAAUCAUCAUUAUGGAAGUCGAAUUGCGGUUCAAGUGAAAGAAAAAGGGGUUUAUAUUUCAUAAAUUUAAUAAGAGGGGUGGAGAGAAUA
This is an RNA transcript of Ipomoea triloba (trilobed morning glory), 2967 nucleotides long. It is a transcript of the gene named mitochondrial intermediate peptidase, mitochondrial, with no coding region annotated. NCBI's taxonomy places the organism in Eukaryota, Viridiplantae, Streptophyta, Magnoliopsida, Solanales, Convolvulaceae. The record is from RefSeq and is a predicted model, not a curated record. The transcript is spliced from 18 exons.